GACCAUCCAUAAGUGAACUGUAAGUUACUAUAUUAGAAAUCAUAUUUUUGCCUUACAUAUCUUUAAAAAGGUUCAUGGAUUCAUCUAUCAUUUUCUUCUUACAUAAUCCAAUAAUCAUGAUAUUA
Molecule: microRNA precursor, 125 nt
Filed under: Cajanus cajan (pigeon pea)
Lineage: Eukaryota; Viridiplantae; Streptophyta; Magnoliopsida; Fabales; Fabaceae
Description: miRNA gene-KK1_016642
Source: RNAcentral